Long non-coding RNA from Gorilla gorilla gorilla (western lowland gorilla), 388 nucleotides. RefSeq lists it as uncharacterized. Lineage: Eukaryota; Metazoa; Chordata; Mammalia; Primates; Hominidae. The record is from RefSeq and is a predicted model, not a curated record. The transcript has 3 exons.
GAUCUCAUUCUGGACCACAAAGUUCUGCUCCUCGCGCUUGAAGUUCUGGUGGGGGAAGCAGUGUUGGAGACCGGACAGGGUCUCGCUCUGUCGCCCAGGCUGGAGUGCAGUGGUGUGAUCUCAGCUCACUGCAACUUCCGCCUCCCAGGUUCCAAAUGAUUCUCCUGCCUCAGCCUCCCACUCAGGAAUACUUAGCUGGGACUACAGAGACAGGGUCUAGCCAUGUUGCCUAGGCUGGUCUCAAAUUCCUGAGCUCAAGUGAUCCUCCCGCCUCAGUCUCUCAAAGUGCUGGGAUUACAGUUGUAAGCCACUGCACCUGGCCCCAAACUUAUUCUUAUCUGCUCAUGAACAUUAAACAGAUGGUAUAAUAUGUAGUUUAUUUCUUGGU